UCGAACGUAUGGGCGCUGGCAUGUCUUCGAAAUUGAUUGACUUAUGGACAUGUGAGGUGGCUGCGAGCUAGCAGCGCCAGGGGACUUGUCGCACCUGAGCGCGCUGGCGAAUUCCCCGCAGUCACCCGGCCCCCGAGCCCUCGGUUUUGUCCAAACUGGAACACAUGGCUCGGGGGCCGCUCCAU
This is a small RNA of 185 nucleotides. It matches the Rfam family "Actinobacteria sRNA Ms_IGR-5". The record is from Rfam.